Molecule: ribosomal RNA, 460 nt
Filed under: uncultured bacterium
Lineage: Bacteria
Description: partial 16S ribosomal RNA
Rfam family: Bacterial small subunit ribosomal RNA
Source: RNAcentral
CCUACGGGUGGCAGCAGUGAGGAAUAUUGGUCAAUGGGCGCGAGCCUGAACCAGCCACGCCGCGUGAAGGAUGACUGCUCUACGGGUUAUAAACUCCUUUUAUAAAGGAAUAAAGUGAGGCACGUGUGCCUUUAUGUAUGUACUUUAUGAAUAAGGAUCGGCUAACUCCGUGCCAGCAGCCGCGGUAAUACGGAGGGUCCGAGCGUUAUCCGGAUUUAUUGGGUUUAAAGGGAGCGUAGAGGGGUUGUUAAGUCAGUUGUGAAAGUUUGGGGCUCAACCGUAAAAUUGCAAUUGAUACUGGCAGCCUUGAGUACAGUUGAGGUAGGCGGAAUUCGUGGUGUAGCGGUGAAAUGCUUAGAUAUCACGAAGAACUCCGAUUGCGAAGGCAGCUUACUAAACUGCCACUGACGUUGAUGCUCGAAAGUGUGGGUAUCAAACAGGAUUAGAUACCCUAGUAGUC